GCCGUUAGCUCAGUUGGUAGAGCAUGAGACUUUUAAUCUCAGAGUCAUGGGUUUGAACCCCCACAUUGGGCA
This is a non-coding RNA of Podarcis lilfordi (Lilford's wall lizard), 72 nucleotides long. The record is from the annotation of a GenBank genome assembly. Lineage: Eukaryota; Metazoa; Chordata; Lepidosauria; Squamata; Lacertidae.